Polyplax serrata (house mouse louse) is the source of this 120-nucleotide non-coding RNA. The record is from the annotation of a GenBank genome assembly. Lineage: Eukaryota; Metazoa; Arthropoda; Insecta; Psocodea; Polyplacidae.
GUCAGGAUGGCCGAGCGGUCUAAGGCGCCAGACUCAAGGUCGACCUUUCCCGUUGUUCAGAACGGGAACCGAGCGUUCUGGUCCUCUCUGAGGGCGUGGGUUCGAAUCCCACUUCUGACA